UACGGAGGGUGCAAGCGUUGUUCGGAAUUACUGGGCGUAAAGCGUGUCUCGGCGGAUUGAUAAGUUAGGUGUUAAAGACCCGGGCUCAACCCGGGGACUGCGCUUAAUACUGUCAGUCUUGAGUAACAGAGGGAUGAGUGGAAUUCCUGGUGUAGCAGUGAAAUGCGUAGAUAUCAGGAGGAACACCUGUGGCGAAAGCGACUCAUUGGCUGUUUACUGACGCUCAAGCACGAAAGCGUGGGUAGCAAACAGG
This 253-nucleotide ribosomal RNA is filed under the name uncultured bacterium. Its description in RNAcentral is "partial 16S ribosomal RNA". It matches the Rfam family "Bacterial small subunit ribosomal RNA", at positions 524 to 776 of the family's 1533-position model. The record is from RNAcentral.